Callithrix jacchus (white-tufted-ear marmoset) is the source of this 103-nucleotide small nucleolar RNA. NCBI's taxonomy places the organism in Eukaryota, Metazoa, Chordata, Mammalia, Primates, Cebidae. The record is from Ensembl.
AUCCCUUUUUAGUUCAUGCGCAUGACCAUUGGGUGUUUACGUGCAGGUGAGCUAUGCCACCUUCUGAACCUUGUUAUGACAUUGGCAUGUUACCCAUCUAACC